RNAcentral lists this ribosomal RNA (502 nucleotides) under uncultured fungus. RNAcentral's name for it is "eukaryotic LSU rRNA". The stretch from base 91 to 244 matches the Rfam family "5.8S ribosomal RNA". The record is from RNAcentral. Lineage: Eukaryota; Fungi.
UGUGCUCUCAAGUGUGCGCGCCCAAACCCAAAUCAACCCUUUUAAAAACGUCGUUGAAUGUUCAUCUAUUGCAGAUUUAAAACAAAAUACAACUUUUAGCAACGGAUCUCUUGGCUCUCGCAUCGAUGAAGAACGCAGCGAAAUGCGAUAAGUAAUGUGAAUUGCAGAAUUCAGUGAAUCAUCGAAUCUUUGAACGCACCUUGCACCCUUUGGUAUUCCGAAGGGUAUGCCUGUUUGAGUGUCUUGAACAUCUCAAAUCCCAAUGUGUUUAAAAGACGUAUUGGGUAUUUUGGUUCUGAGCACUGCCAAUUUAAAUGUUUAUUGGCUUGCUUUAAAUGAAUUAGCUGGGCGCAUUACAAAUUAGUUCUCACAAGCGUAAUACUAUUUCGUUUGGUAAGCAGAACGCUUUGUCUUGGGCCGCUUCUAAAACUUGGCCAUUUUCGUUCGAAAAUAGCUUCUUUCAUCAGACCUCAAAUCAGGUAGGACUACCCGCUGAACUUAA